RNAcentral lists this ribosomal RNA (253 nucleotides) under uncultured bacterium. RNAcentral describes it as "partial 16S ribosomal RNA". It matches the Rfam family "Bacterial small subunit ribosomal RNA", at positions 524 to 776 of the family's 1533-position model. The record is from RNAcentral.
GACGUAGGGGGCCAGCGUUGCUCGGAAUUACUGGGUGUAAAGGGUUCGUAGGCGGUGUGGCAAGUCGGGAGUGAAAUCUCUGGGCUCAACCCAGAGUCUGCUUCCGAAACUGCUGUGCUUGAGUGUGGGAGAGGCGCGUGGAAUUGCAGGUGUAGCGGUGAAAUGCGUAGAUAUCUGCAGGAACACCCGUGGCGAAAGCGGCUCACUGGACCACAACUGACGCUGAGGCGCGAAAGCUAGGGGAGCAAACAGG